Long non-coding RNA from Ostrea edulis (European flat oyster), 6584 nucleotides. RefSeq lists it as uncharacterized. NCBI's taxonomy places the organism in Eukaryota, Metazoa, Mollusca, Bivalvia, Ostreida, Ostreidae. The record is from RefSeq and is a predicted model, not a curated record. The transcript has 10 exons.
GGUAUAUAUAACUCAACAUUAAAGGGAUUAAAUUACAAUACAUAUACGGUAUAUGUAAAGACCAGGAACAUUGAAACCCGGAUAGAUAAGAGGUUUGGAAGCCAUGUUGAAGAAUUACUUUAUCCAACGCAGGGUACUGCAGUUUUACAUGUCCUCCCAAUGGCCACAGAAUGCAUCUGUUCAUGGAUCCGAUAUAACUCCGAUUAAGGAAUGUAUUUCACGAUAAUAUAAAUACUCGGCAUUAUAACACACAAGGGUUUAUAUGAAUGACGGAUCAGAAUCAUCUGUUUAUUGAUGAUCAUUACUGGCAGACUUUAAAGGAUAUAUGUGAAAAUACCUUCGUGGAAAAUGUGUAUAGAAAAGAACACUACUGGAAUUAGGUGAUGAUAUAUAUGAAAAGACCAGGACGAUUCUUCGCCCAGAUAGAAGAGAAGCAACAAUAUACUUUAUCCAAAGCAGAAAGGUUAUUCCAGUUUUACAUGUCCUUUCAAUGGAUUAAAUCGGAUUAGACCGGAAAAACCGAGGCUCCGUUUCACAGCAGCUGUAAGCUAUUAACAGAUGUCUAAAUUGUGCAUUCCUUCACGGGCAAUGGUGAAGUUUUAAUAUCAGUGAAAAAUUCUCGAAAGGGGGAUUAUUAUACAAUAUAUAUAUUGGAGUAUGAUACAACCAACCAGUGGAUCAAAUUUAUUUCCCGCAAAUUGGUACAACAAAUCCGUUCAAUUAAUUAAGUGUUAUAUUCACGUGAUACAGAUCACACAGGAUGAUAACGUACAGAGAUGACGGGUCAGAGUCGCCUGUUUAAUGGUGAUCAUUACUGAAACAUUGUAAAGGAUAUAUGGAUAUAUGUGAAGCCACCUGUGUGACCAAUUUGUCUAGAAAUCAACACUACAGGAAUCAAAUUAAAAUAAAUAGGAAAAGAUCAGGAAUCUUAAAGCCCUGGUAGAAAGAAAGUAGGUUAUUCCAGUUUUACAUGUCCUUUCAAUGGAUUAAAUCCGGGGUUGGAAUUGGUCCCCAGCAGCCAUUGCUUGUCGUAAGAGACGACAAAAUAAGCGGUGCUCUGGAUUAGACCGAAAAACACCCGAGGACCCGUGUCACAGCAGUUGUAAGCGAUUAACAGAUGUCUAAAUUGUGCAGCCCUUCAUGGGCAAUGGUGACGUCUUCAUAUGAGUGAAAAAUUCUCGAAAGGGAGAUUUAAGUAUUAUACAAUUAACCAGCGGAUCAAGUGUAUAGCCCACAAAUUGAUACAACGCAUCUGUUCGUGGGCUUAAUAUCAUUUUAAUUAAAUGUUAUAUUUAAUUAGAUGUUAUAUUCACGUGAUAGAGAUCACACUGGAAUAUAACGUACAGUGAUGACGUGUCAGAGUCGCCUGUUUACUGAUUACUGAAGCAUUGUCAAGGAUAUAUGGAUAUAUGUGAAGCCACCUGUGUGACCAAUGUGUAUAGAAAUCAACACUACAGGAAUCAAAUUAGAAUAAAUAGGAAAAGACCAGGAAGAUUGAAACCCCGGUAGAAAGGAAGGUCAGAGGACAAGUUAACCAUCACAUUAUAUCCAAAAAACAGGUUAUUCCAGUUUUACAUGUCCUUUCAAUGGAUUAAAUCCGGGGUUGGAAUUGGUCCCUAGCACCCAUUGUUUGUCGUAAGAGACGACAAAAUAAGCGGUUCUUUGGAUUAGAUCGGAAAAACCGAGGUCCCGUGUCACAGUAGCUGUAAGCGAUUAACAGAUGUCUAAAUUGUGCAGCCCUUCACGGGCAAUGGUGACGUCUUCAUCUGAGUGAAAAAUUCUCGAAAGGGAGAUUAAGUAUUAUACAACUAACCAGCGGAUCAAGUGUAUUGCCCACAAAUUGGUACAACAAAUCCGUUCAUUUAAUUAGAUGUUAUAUUCACGUGAUAGAGAUCGCACAGGAUGAUAUUGUACAGUGAUGACGUGUCAGAGUGGCCUGUUUAAUGGUGAUCAUUACUGAAGCAUUGUAAAGGAUAUAUGGAUAUAUGUGAAACCACCUGUCUGACCAAUUUGUCUAGAAAUUAACACUACAGGAAUCAAAUUAAAAUAAAUAGGAAAAGACCAGGAAGAUUAAAACCCCGGUAGAAAGGAAGGUCAGAGGACAAGUUAACCACCACAAUAUAUCCAAAAAACAGGAAAAAGAAUGGAGGACUAAACUAAUUCCAGCCGUAUCCAGGGUAGAUGCGUCCUGUAAUCCCGAUACAGAGCAUAUUAAAUUUUGCUCAGAACAUUUUGAGGACAGUUGUUUAUUGUUUCACGAUUGCUGCUCGUUGCAGUGUCUUCUAUGGUUGGUUAUGCAUGAAGCAUGUUUUAUUUCUUUUGUGGUUACCGAUAUAAGUACUGGAUGUGACUUGUAAUUUCAUUCAAGCAAUUCAGUUACUGUGUCAUUUACUACAUUUUAAACACUUCAGUCCAGACCACUUGCCAUCAUUCCUUCAAGACCUAUCAGCUGAGGGAUGUGAAUCAUACACAUUCGGUUCAAGGAUCAGAGAAAUCAGUAGAGAAGAUUAGAAUCAACAAAUUCUUGGAAGCCUUGGAAAAGCUGUAUAAAUGCACCAGUGUUAAAGAUAGCUCAGAUGUCAAUAUUAAAUGUUCUCAGGGAUACCGCUUUUUUUUUCUACUCACAUAAUCAAUAGCAAACCAUCCAACAAAAGUGUGAUUCGUGCUAACAGUUGUUUUGGUGGUGUUCAGGAAGUGGCAAUGUGUAGUGCAUGAUCCAAGCUUCAAAGCUUAACGGAAAACUCAUCUCCUCAUGAGCUUCAUCCCAAAACCCCUCUAACACAUGUACCCCAAACAGCACUAAUAAAACAGGUCAACGUCAUCAGAGAGGUAAACAGAAAACGUUGGAGCCUUGUAGAUUCUUUGAGCAAAAGUAAUAUAAAAUAACAUCAAUUGGAUACAUUGUGGACCAAAUAAUCAAAUAUUAUUUUUUGCAUGUAUCAUAUACAUUUACAGGUAUACAAGUUAUAAAAAUUAAACUUCAAACUAGCUAAUAACAAGUAUUACUUUCAUCUUGUCAUAUGCAAUCAAAGGUGAGACAGCCCCUGUUGCUGAAGAUGUUGGAGAGGGUCUCUUUGCUACUCUUCAAAACCAUAAACCAGGAGACACCCUGAUGGACCUUUUCUGGAAGGAACAAAAGAAAGCUUUUACAACAAGUCCAAAAGGAAAAAACAAGAUACAUCCAUGACUGGCAAGCCUCUGUCUCAACCAGACCAGGAUUUUCAAAGCAGGAAAAAAUAAGAUGGUCCUCUCACAUCAGACAUGUGAAGGAAUCAUCAUGACAGCUACCAAGAAAACCAGGUGCGAUUGCAAAGGAUCCUUGCAAUGAGCAUAGUUCCUAAGGACAACACUGCAGAGAGGACAUGGGAGAAGAGAAAGCCCACAGUAUCCCAGAGUCCAAUCCAAAAAAAUUAAAAGACAGUAGAAUUAAAGAAAUUCUAUAUAAAGCUUGUUAUUGACUCAUACUGUUGAUAAUUCACCAUUAAGAUCUAUUGUUAAACUAUAUCUACAGUCAGAAAUAAAGCUUUCUUUAUGCAACAACACAAAAUGAAUACACUCCUUAAGAAGAAUUGUAAAGUAGUUUAUUUGAAAAUUUGUAUCACAACAUAUGGGUGUUUUAAAACAUUAUGAAACAAACUUUGAACUGAAUAUACUGUGAACAUCUGACAAAAUUGACAAGCCAAUACAUAAAGGUAGCGACUUCAAUGAACGUCUCCAUUUUUGACAUCUAUUUUAACUUCAGAUAUCUUAUCUCAAUGUCAAAAUAUAAAAAUAUACAUGACAUUCUUUUGAUGCAAACACAUUUUUUCCACAAGGUACAUUAACACUUUCCUCAACUACAUAUACUUAUAAAUAUUGCAUUUCAAAAAGCCAGAACAACCCAUAAUAUCAUUGUCUGCUUUCACAUCAUAACACAUCGCAAAAAAUAUGUAUCAAUCAAUAGAUUUACGAAGAGCUUUUUGCUUGCUUACCAUUUUUGUUUUGGAAUAGAAAUUUCCCAUCAUUUGUCUGCAUUUUGCAUGGCAUCUGACUUUGUGAAAAAGAGAUAAUAUUGUUAAAAACAACUUUUCUUGCACCUCAGUUCUUGACUCGGAAUAAUACGUACAGUUAUAAAACAUUGUAACAGCUUCAUUUCCCAGACAAAUGGAAUCAGUAAAUUGUUGAAGUGUAGGAACCGACAUUGAAAUACGCAAGUUCCUAAAUGCUAGCUCCAAUAAAACAAAAACGUCUACAAUAUCAGACAAUGGCUGUGUCAGCCCACCUCUAGACUUAACAAAAAUCAAUUCAGUUGUGUCAUCUUUUUCAAUAAGUUUAUCUAUGCAUUUUUCAAUUUCAGGACAUAAACUAAAUUUCCUUUUGCACCGAUAUAGCAUAAAGAAUGCAAUGUAUGCAGUUAUAUCUCUUUCCUCUGAUUUCAAAAUCCUACAAUCGACAGUAUUUGAUUUUGUGGUGGAUUGACAAGGAGACAUAUCUAUUAUGAUUUUCUCUGCUGAUUUUAGAGAAAUGAAAGCAGAGAGCUGACGAUUUUUGACAAUUUUAAAAAUUUCAUCAAUCAGUGAAGGCUGCAUAAUCUGGUAAUUGCGCCAGGCCUUUUCCCUGGCUGCAGAAGGGAAAAUUUCUGUCGCAAAUAUGUUGUUAAGGGGUUUUAAAGCUGGAACCAAUUGGACAGCCGUAAAGAUAUUGUACAAAUAUUUUUUUUUAUAUUUGCAAAUGACAUUACUAGACUACAUUAAUUGAUAUAAAUAAAUCCGUUUAACCUUUUCCUUUUCUAAGUACUGAAUAGCAGAAAGCAUUUCCAUAUAGUUGUUAUGAUUCAUGUUAUUAUUAUACAAUAGAAUAGACAACAGCUAGCUUGCAUCAUGACAUCUUUUGAGGUCCACAUGAUUACUAUUCGUCAUUUUUAUAUGAACAAUGAUAAUGAAGAUACAAAUGAACCAUUAUACAAUAUAAUGAAACAACAAUUGUUAAAAGGAUAUGAUAGACUAUUGAUUCCAUCUUUGCUUGAAAGAGGCUUUGCAGAUUUUUAAUGUACACAUAUCAAGAUUUCUAGCUCCCCUUCUUGAUGAAACAGAAUGCAGCCAGUUGUUAAAGUACAAAACUGACAAUUACAACUAUUGAAGCCAAGCUAUGUACUUUUAUCAAAACAAACAGCAUGAACAAGCUAAAGUUUUUAAAAUUGUAAAGAUUGUGCUUGAUCAUAGCUGAAAAAGGAAAAUAACUAAAAAUAAAAACAUUAUGUUGAAUAAAUCAAAUACAAAACAUUGAUACAACUGUGUCUUUCUUUUUAAAUUAAGUUUCCAUUUAUAGACCCGAGUAUUGUUUUUAUGUGAUCAGGUAAUAUCUCGUCACUUUGUAUGUUAAGAAUAACACCUUGUGAUAAUCCCACGGUUACUUUGGUCCUCCACAUGUUUAUUAACAAUAGAAAUUGCAGGCAAUGGCUGUUCAUGAAGAGUGUCUGCAUCGAAAUCCUUAUUAACAAACACAAACUUAUUUUAUAUUUACAAAUUACGUCACAACGUGUUUCAACUUUCAGAUUCACUGAAAGUCGGAGAUUCCGAUUGAAAUAAUUCAAUAAAAACAAACUUAAUGUAAAUUUUAUAGGGUAUUCCUAAUCAUUACUUUGAUAUGAAGUAUUAAUGUAAAUUUUAUAGGGUAUUCCUAAUCAUUACUUUGAUAUGAAGUACUAAUGUAAAUUUUAUAGGGUAUUCCUAAUCAGUACUUUGAUAUGAAGUAUUUACCUCGGAUUCAAAUAGGGCGCGUAAUUCCAAAUCGAAGCUAUUGUUUCCACUUGCCAUCAUAUAAUAGGAAGUCCUAUAUAUGCCUCCCGGUUAGGGCGCUGCGAAAACAGGAAGAUGAUUUGCGCGAAAAUGAGCCAGCGGUCCCUCCGUUAUAUGUCUAUACCCAAACUAUAUUAUGAUAUAGGGCUCGCAGCGGGUGUGACCGGUUGUCCAGGGAUGCUUUCUCUUCCUAGACACCUGAUCCCACCUUUGGUAUAUCCAGAGGUCCGUUUUUGCCCAACUCCCUAUUUUGCAUUACUUGUGGGAGCUAUGAGAUUGAUCACUGUUCGUUAUCUUCGCCUUUCAUUAGUUAAGUUUACUUCCGAUUGAUUCUACUAACAAAUUGUUCUGAAUAGUAGGUUUACCAAUAUAACAAAUAACUUCUCCAUAAUGUUAACCAAAUAUCUUCUCUAUAGUGCUGAACAAAUUGAUCCAGAUAUAGAAUAAAAGAUCGUUGCUUUGAAGACAUGUUUAUUAUUAUUCUCACAAUAUACGUAUGCUUGAUUUGAGAUUCGGGUAGGAAACUUGUCUUGUGGAUUUGUAAGACGAUAUGAAAAUAUGUAAUUUACAUGUAAACCCUUCUAUUCUAAUGCUGUUUGACAAAUUUGAUAAUAAUAUCUUAAUUUUUACGAUCAACGUUCAAGAUAAUGAUGAGGAUGGUGAAAAUCUGGUAAUCCUAAACGUUUAUCAUUCCCUAUACAAGGAGGUUCUUGUAUCAUUGACUUAGAAACUGUGGAACAUUGCAUUGUGUUACAUGGCUUCGAUAAUAGUAAUUGAUUUGACCAGGGGGGGGGGGGUGGCACUCUA